GCAAACCAGCUGCUGGAUAAGUUUCAGUCAAAAGAGAGUGCGCAGGCAGCCCUGCAGGACAUUGAGAAACUGAUGGAGACAGAUCCUUCAGUGCUGCGGUCUAGCCCAGACUUUCUUAGUCUGGAAUUUGAAGCAAUAAUCACUCCACAGUUGCAGCCACGUAAUGAAGGAGCUGAUUGAGACGGAGAGAAUUUAUGUGGAUGAGCUUCUGUCUGUUUUGCGGGAUAUUUCUUCAGGACCUCGAGAGCUGCUUAGAGACCCCAGAGAGAGUGGGAGAGUGCUUUCUGGAACGGGUGAGCCAUUCUGUGGCAAACAUAUAUACUGCAUAUGUAAAGACAUUACAAAAGAUUAAAAGUUACAAGAUAUAAAGCUACAAAAGAUUUUCUAUUUUUAAAAAUAAUGCUGUUU
This is a long non-coding RNA of Carassius gibelio (silver crucian carp), 408 nucleotides long. RefSeq lists it as uncharacterized. The transcript is spliced from 3 exons. The record is from RefSeq and is a predicted model, not a curated record. NCBI's taxonomy places the organism in Eukaryota, Metazoa, Chordata, Actinopteri, Cypriniformes, Cyprinidae.